RNAcentral lists this long non-coding RNA (1501 nucleotides) under Lepidothrix coronata (blue-crowned manakin). RNAcentral describes it as "lncRNA (ENSLCOG00000002596.1)". Lineage: Eukaryota; Metazoa; Chordata; Aves; Passeriformes; Pipridae. The record is from RNAcentral.
CCUUCCUUAAGGUGUUCAAGGGACAAGACCUUGCUUCUGCUGAUGUUGUUGCAUAAACUUGUUCAGCUGAAGUCUGUGAGGCCAGGGAAAGGAAAAGAAAGAUCUCUGGAAUGUGCCCCCAUUAAAAGGAGGCUGCACAACUGGAGCCCGUCUCAACUCGUGUGUUCGCAACUGAAACACCUCAACUUUCCAGAAGUCUCUAAAUGGACUGCUUUCAGUCGGAACAGUACACAGACAUUAUAAAACCUGCAAUUACUUUUACUGUAGGGCCAUAAAAUAUAGAUCUGUUAAAGUCUGGGUGCAGAACACAUGGACAUCCUACAGUUCCGACCAGCAUAGAUGAAAGUCUAUUAUGGAUGAUGAAAACAAGGUACUAGAAAACCCAUUAGAGCUAUUUGUUCCCACUUGCAAUGAUAGUCCCCAUAACCACAUUAAAUCAAAGCAUCUCUGGGACUUCAUUACAAAUUUCUUUUAUCGAUACCAUACACUGAUAUAAAUAACAGUGUAACAAAAUCAGAAGAAAUUACAUUGCAUUGUAUGAUUUAGGGAUCUGUGAUCAAUUAUUUAGCAUUUAUAUCAGAGAUGCACUUAAUGUUUUCAUUGGGCUGAGGCUCUGUAGUGUUAGGGACUGUGUACAUAUUGAGCUGACAGAAAUCACUAGUCCAGAGUGCUUUCACCAUUUAAACUGGGUUAAGGACAUAAGAGUGUAAAAUGAGAGAGGAAAAAUGAUUAAAAUCCUCUCUAGAUACCACCGCUCUGGGAUUGAAACUAUACUCAUAUCCAGUAAGAGAAUGAAAAGACAUGUGUGCUUUUGAACUCUAGGAAAGAGUAAAACCAGAGACCAACAGAAACCUGUGGUCACUAUGUGUAACAGCUCCUUCCCCGUACUCUGCAAAGCCUCUCCUUUUCUAAUAUGCUACCAAAAAAAAAAAAAAAAAAAUAAGACUGACUGGUGUCUCUUCUGGAAAUAACGAGGUUGAUCAAGAAUGAUUUGCAAAGAGAAGCAAGAAAAGCAUGUUUUUGUGGUAAAAACCAGAACAAUUCUUUCCACAAGGGCAUGUAGGGAUAGGACAAAGGACAAUGGCUUCUGAAACAGGAUAGAUAUAGAUUAGGUAUUAGGAAGAAAUUCUUUACUGUGAGGGUUGUGAAGCACUGGAACAGGCUGCCCAGAGAAGCUGUGGAUGCCCCAUCCCUGGAGAUGUUUAAGGACAGGGCUUGGAACAACCUGGUCUAGUGGAAGGUUUCCCUGCCCAUGGCAGGGGGCUUGGAACAAGAUGACUUUUAAGGUUCAUUCUAACCCAAACCAUUCUAUGAUUCUAUGAUUCUCUGAUUAAGAUGGUGGUUGUACUUUAAACAGGAGUCUGAAGGAAAUAUUAGCCUUGUUCUCCCUGAUCCACCAGGAGGUUUGUAUUCGAGUUUGCAGGCUCCAUAAGCUCAAAGCAUAAAAAGGAGAUAUGACUCAAACAUGCCAAUAAAGUUCAGAGAAAGUAAGGUGAACUCA